GACGAACGCUGGCGGCGUGCUUAACACAUGCAAGUCGAACGGAAAGGCCCUGCUUUUGUGGGGUGCUCGAGUGGCGAACGGGUGAGUAACACGUGAGUAACCUGCCCUUAACUUUGGGAUAACUUCAGGAAACUGGGGCUAAUACCGGAUAGGAUCUCCUGCUGCACAGGGGGGGUUGGAAAGAUUCGGCGGUUGGGGAUGGACUCGCGGCUUAUCAGCUGGUUGGGCGGGUAGUGGCGUACGAAGGCUGUGACGGGUAGCCGGCCUGAGAGGCGGACCGGGCACAUUAGGACUGAGAUACGGACCAGAAGCGAACGGGAGGCAGCAGGGGGGAAUAUUGCACAAUGGGCGGAAGCGUGAUGCAGCAGUGCCGCGUGCGGGAUGACGGCCUUCGGGUUGUAAACCGCUUUCGCCUGUGACGAAGCGGGAGUGACGGUAAUGGGUAAAGAAGCACCGGCUAACUACGUG
RNAcentral lists this ribosomal RNA (468 nucleotides) under uncultured bacterium. RNAcentral describes it as "partial 16S ribosomal RNA". It matches the Rfam family "Bacterial small subunit ribosomal RNA", at positions 28 to 507 of the family's 1533-position model. The record is from RNAcentral.